AUCGAACGCUGGCGGCAGGCUUAACACAUGCAAGUCGAACGAGUGGCGGACGGGUGAGUAACGUCUGGGAAACUGCCUGAUGGAGGGGGAUAACUACUGGAAACGGUAGCUAAUACCGCAUACCAUCAGAUGUGCCCAGAGGGGAGUAGCUUGUUGGUGGGGUAACGGUUCACUAAGGCGACGAUCCCUAGUUGGUCUGGGAGGAUGACCAGCCGCACUGGACCUAAGACGCGGUCCAGACUCCUACGAGUGGCAGCAGUGGGGGAUAUUGCGCAAUGGGCGCAAGCCUGAUGCAGCCGUGCCGCGUGUAUGGAGAAGGCCUUCGAGUUGUAAAGUACUUACAGCGAGGAGGCGUUACCCGCAGAAGAAGCGCCGGCUAACUCCGUGCCAACAGCCGCGGUAAUUC
RNAcentral lists this ribosomal RNA (406 nucleotides) under uncultured bacterium. RNAcentral describes it as "partial 16S ribosomal RNA". It matches the Rfam family "Bacterial small subunit ribosomal RNA", at positions 30 to 526 of the family's 1533-position model. The record is from RNAcentral.